GACGAACGCUGGCGGCGCGCCUAAUACAUGCAAGUCGAACGCGAGCAGCAAUGCUCGAGUGGCGAACGGGUGAGUAAUACAUAAGUAACCUGCCCUAGACAGGGGGAUAACUGCUGGAAACGGCAGCUAAGACCGCAUAGGUAUGGACACUGCAUGGUGACCAUAUUAAAAGUGCCAAGGCGCUGGUAGAGGAUGGACUUAUGGCGCAUUAGCUGGUUGGUGAGGUAACGGCCUACCAAGGCGGCGACGGGUAGCCGGCCUGAGAGGGUGACCGGCCACACUGGGACUGAGACACGGCCCAG
RNAcentral lists this ribosomal RNA (302 nucleotides) under uncultured bacterium. Its description in RNAcentral is "bacterial SSU rRNA". It matches the Rfam family "Bacterial small subunit ribosomal RNA", at positions 28 to 334 of the family's 1533-position model. The record is from RNAcentral.